UACAGAGGUCCCAAGCGUUGUUCGGAUUCACUGGGCGUAAAGGGUGCGUAGGCGGGUCUUUAAGUCAGGGGUGAAAUCCUGGAGCUCAACUCCAGAACUGCCUUUGAUACUGAGGAUCUUGAGUUCGGGAGAGGUGAGUGGAACUGCGAGUGUAGAGGUGAAAUUCGUAGAUAUUCGCAAGAACACCAGUGGCGAAGGCGGCUCACUGGCCCGAUACUGACGCUGAGGCACGAAAGCGCGGGGAGCAAACAGG
This 253-nucleotide ribosomal RNA is filed under the name uncultured bacterium. RNAcentral describes it as "partial 16S ribosomal RNA". It matches the Rfam family "Bacterial small subunit ribosomal RNA", at positions 524 to 776 of the family's 1533-position model. The record is from RNAcentral.